Molecule: long non-coding RNA, 392 nt
Filed under: Chinchilla lanigera (long-tailed chinchilla)
Lineage: Eukaryota; Metazoa; Chordata; Mammalia; Rodentia; Chinchillidae
Description: lncRNA (ENSCLAG00000025781.1)
Source: RNAcentral
GCAAACUCAGAAGAAAUGGACACAAAGAGCUAUGCCCCCCCUUACUCCAUCACAGAGUGACAAAGCUGAAGUCAAAGAUGAAAUAGGACAGAAGAGAGGGGUUGGCUCUGAGGCAGUGCCCAAGUUUCGGUGAGUGAGGGUGCUGUUUGUGACUUAAUAAUUGCCUAUACCCUGACCCUUGACUUGGGGGCCCACAAAAGGCUACUUUCUUCUAUGUGCACAUCCAAAAUCCAGUUACCACGGAUGUAAAAGGACAAGGCAAAACUUGGAUGCAUGCUGCUACAAAAUAUUUGUUUUUUAUUUGUAUAGGCCCCUAUCAUGUUUCAGAAAGAGAUCUGAAGUAGCCUAUUAGUUGUCAUUAGAAUGAUGAUGAUUAAUGAUUAUAAUAACAA